UUUGCUCUGUAUCUUUCUUCAUCGAGAAUCAAUGGCUCUGCCCAAUACUAGCAUGUGAAGGCAUGUUUGUGGUCAAACAAAACGGGCCCUAGAAAAAGGAAGAGGAUGAUAUAAUUUGUAACCUUACUAUCCUGUUUUCCUCUGCUAUCAUCUCACCAACUAAUGGCAACUAGAUGGUCUGUUGUUCUGCAGCAGGCAACUGAGUCGGCCAUUGUGUGGUGGGGUGGCGGUAAAAGGCGGAAGAUCCAGUAGUUGUACAGAAUCAUUUGAGGCACUGUUUGGCUUGUGCCAAGUCUCUUUACUGCAUGCAAACUUACUUUUGAUAUAUUCUCUUAAAUCGUCAGAAUUGUUCUCUUUUAAUGAAUUGUUAGCAAUUAGUUAUGAAGUAUUCUACUUAUUUAGAACUUCUGUUUCUCUUUGAAAAAGUCUCUUCUUCAGAGUUCUCAUAAUUUAUACAUGAGUUCUCUUGAUAAUUUUGUUUGUCUUUCGCUUUUAUUGCAUAUUCUUAAAAUUAUAUUUAUUUACAUUCAUGCCUCUGAAUAACAUGUUUUCAUAAGCCACUCUGUGAAACAAAACGGGCCCUAAAAAAAGGAAGAGGAUGAUAUAAUUUGUAACCUUAUUAUCCUGCUUUCCUCUGCUAUCAUCUCACCAACUAAUGGCAACUAGAUGGUCUGUUGUUCUGCAGCAGGCAACUGGGUCGGCCAUUGUUUGGUGUGGUGGCGGUAAAAGGCGAAAUA
This 737-nucleotide long non-coding RNA is filed under the name Ananas comosus (pineapple). RNAcentral describes it as "long non-coding RNA (ACOM_LNC002935)". Lineage: Eukaryota; Viridiplantae; Streptophyta; Magnoliopsida; Poales; Bromeliaceae. The record is from RNAcentral.